Molecule: long non-coding RNA, 1810 nt
Organism: Alosa sapidissima (American shad)
Lineage: Eukaryota; Metazoa; Chordata; Actinopteri; Clupeiformes; Clupeidae
Exons: 3
Source: RefSeq, a predicted model, not a curated record
CACAAAAGGUGGGGCUUCUAAGCUUGACUGUAAAAUUUUCGUCACUCACAGGAAGUCCCGCCGUUCUUCUUAAAAUCAAUUGGCUGUUGCGCGUACGCUCGUGAAAUGUCAUUAGUCCAGUCACGCGACAAUCACUUUAUCAGUCUACUGUUUCCUGUUUGCAUUCUUGCAGGAAGGGAAUCGCAUUCAGCCGUUCAAUAUAUGCUAGCUAUCUUAGUUAGCGAGGUAACAAACUGCAUGGCAAAGACCUUUUAAUGUCCUAGGAAAUGGCCAGUGUUGUUGUCGAAUUCCGGGGUAUCUGCCAGCUAGAGUAGAUUUUCGCCUGAUCGAUUGCAUACAUUUUCAAUUAAAACAAUGCACAGACAGAAGUAACAGACUCGAAACGUGAGGUUGGUAACAUUAGCCAUUUAGCCUGACGGUAAAUGGCUCGUCGAGCAGCCGAUUGUGUAGAAAGGAUAGCCUAUGUGGCGUGUUGGAAACUUUGUGUGUUGGCGCUCUGUGAUGGGCUGUUGUGUUUGUCCCCUAGGCUAGGUAAACAUAUCAACUUCAUUUCAAUGUCAUUUCUCAGACGUUUGUAAGACCCCAGCGUCUCAGAAAAAAAGAGGCAUGCUGGUAGUUUUAGAUAAAGCAAGUUCGCAACCCUUUUUUCUUCAAGUUUUGCACUUUAUUUCAGUAAGAAGGGCUAACGUCAUUAUUGGACCUAACGUUACUGUUUUGCACGAAGUAACUGCGUUAGAAAAUGUGUAUUAAAUAAAGCAUAAUAUUGACAUCACCCCAAAAUGUUGCCUCUAGGUUGUUGUCUUUAACAAAUUCCUAGUGAGGUAUAGGCAGAUACAGUAAGUCUACACCCGGACAGCCAUGAUUGAGCUGAAAUUUUUGACCACAAAAUGUUAAGUGCUGAGUCUCCCUGAUUCUACAAAGUAUCCUGAAAGCUGUCAAGUCCUACCUGAGUGAGACCGAAGUGGUGCAUUUUCUUCCAGCCUUCAAUUCAAACUUAGGCCAUUACAGCCAGACUACAAAAGCACUUUCCUGGUACUCGAGGGCUCGUGUCAGUGGAAAGUGGAUAUUUCCAAUCACUCUGCUGUCAAUCCAAGUGUCAGGUAAACACAGACCUGCAGGGACAGUCUUUAGAAAUCGUGUGCAGCUGCACUCAAUGCUCUCACUACAGCAUAAGAAAUUACUUCUCUCCAGUUGGCUAACCUCACAAAGAGUCAAGCUUUAAUGGGGAAGUCAAAUGUCUUCCAUUAUUGUCUAAAAUCUUGUAUCGAUUGAAACGCCUUGAGACCAUCAAACAUAAUUUCUGACCUUUUUGUCUUUGAUAGACGUUUUGCCAUGGAUAUGAAACCACAGUUCUGCUGGUGUGGUCUGAUCUGAGGAAAAGGUGACUGCAUGUGGUGAGACAGCCCUGUUGGAGACACCUGGUGGAACAAUAUAAAUGGAAGCACGGGGGGAAGCUUCAAAAAUGCUGCAGCAGGGAGACAUGUGGGUAGAAUAUCAAAUGUGUCUCAAUGACAACCAAGGAAACGGCUGAGGGUGAAUUUGGAGAUAUAUUCCGUCAUCAGUUCUGGGCGCCUACUCCUGGGGAGAAUACAAUCUUCUUUACAACACCGCAAUGACGGCUGUAUCAUUUCAGCCACAUAACCAUCCCAGAGACACACACCAGCCCACAAGAGACAGGAGAGGAAAACUAUGUCUGAAAUCAUUAUAUUGUGCAUAUUAUAAGUUGCAUAUUAUAGUUAUCAUUAUAAUAGAUGAGAACAGAAUGCAGACACACACAAAAUGGAGACAAAACUAAUAGACAAAAACACGG